Oryctolagus cuniculus (rabbit) is the source of this 739-nucleotide long non-coding RNA. RefSeq lists it as uncharacterized. NCBI's taxonomy places the organism in Eukaryota, Metazoa, Chordata, Mammalia, Lagomorpha, Leporidae. The record is from RefSeq and is a predicted model, not a curated record.
UGCCCCACCGCCAACUUCGCCAAACCAGCUCUCUCCCGGCGCCCCCCAACCCCGGACGAACCUGUGGGGCCUGGGGCUUGCGGGCGGAAGGGCGGGGCCGGAGCGCAGGACGCCGGCUCCGGGCACAGGUAUUGGGCGAGGUGGGCGGAGAAAGGCAGCACCGGCCGCCCGGCGAGUCCCAGUCCGGGGACUGCGUGUUGUUCUGCGCGGACCGUGGGUGAUCAGUCCCCCCCGUGCGGAUGGGGUUAAACGGGAGCUCGGAGGUCCGCCCGUGGGGACCACCCGUUAGCCUCGGGCCAGGAAAGGUACGGAGAGACUGAAAGCUGGCCGCAAAAACUCUUCUGAGCCUUUGGGGUUUUUCUUGCCCUGCCUUCAGAUAAUCUGCUGUGAAAACCAGUCCAGACUACUAUCAGAACUAGUCAAGAUAUUUUGCCACAGGAUCUAGAACAAAAACGUGCACUGGCUUCUGUCUUCGGAGGACUCUGCUGCUGCACGGGACGGGCAGCCGUCUACUCUGGCUCUUCCUCCGUGUGGGGACCUCUUUUGUUCACUGUGCAUCUAUCUAGGCUGGACCUGGCCUGAAAUUGGGCCUUUGGGUCCCUGCUGUACUUUCCAACUUGCCAAGUUUCUCAAAGGACCAAAGCCAUGCUAACAGCUCCCAGAGGAAGAGGAUUAACUACUGCUUGACUUCAAAAGGAAGUUUCUGCUAAUUCCUCUGAUAAAAAUCAAAACAGGCCCA